UGUACGGACACACAAUUGAGUAAAAGUUGUCCUUAAACUUCUUGGUAGAGUUCAUGUCUUGAGUGUGACAACUUCAACAUCUUAGCAGAAUUCGAUGGAGAAUGCAUCUUCCAUUUUCGUUCGCCAGACUGGACGAAUCUUCAAGCAGAAGAUACAGUGGCGUUGAAGGGAGAUUCAAAACUGUUACAAAUGAGGAAAUAGAGAAAUUUUUCGACUCCAGGCAAGCAAAAUCAACAAAAAGAAAUACAGCAUGGGGAUUUUUCAAGAUUGGAACAUGGAGAUCUAUGGUUCUGUACUAAUGGUGCAACAUUAGACCUGCAAACAGCAAAUGUGUCAACUCUUGCCAGUCAUCUCUCGUGAUUUUAUUGUGAAGCCAGCCCCAAAGAAAAAGUUGAUGAUGAUGUUUAGCCUUUGUACCACAAAAAUACUUUGAUCAAUAUCAAAGGAGCAAUAAAUCGCCAUCUUGCUGACAUUCAGAAAGAUGUAAAUAUAGUCCAUGACAAGGAGUUCAGAACAGCCAAUGGAAUCUUGGAUGGUUUCUUUAAAGAGCGAACCUGACUUGAUCUGUCAAAACCAACAUCACACAAAGAUAUUAUCGAGAUACAUGAUCUGCAGAAGAUUUAUAAAUACCUCCAAGGUGCCACAUCAUCACCAGUGGUUUUGCGCCAUGCUGUAUGGUACUUUCUGUCCAUCAAUUUUAUUACCAGAGGUUUAGAGUUCCACCAUAAGU
This is a long non-coding RNA of Magallana angulata, 730 nucleotides long. RefSeq lists it as uncharacterized. The record is from RefSeq and is a predicted model, not a curated record. Lineage: Eukaryota; Metazoa; Mollusca; Bivalvia; Ostreida; Ostreidae. The transcript has 3 exons.